ACCGAAUAAAACUUAGUGUCGCAUGACACAAAGUUAAAAGGCGCUUCGGCGUCACCUAGAGAUGGAUCCGCGGUGCAUUAGUUAGUUGGUGGGGUAAAGGCCUACCAAGACAAUGAUGCAUAGCCGAGUUGAGAGACUGAUCGGCCACAUUGGGACUGAGACACGGCCCAAACUCCUACGGGAGGCUGCAGUAGGGAAUCUUCCACAAUGGGCGAAAGCCUGAUGGAGCAACGCCGCGUGUGUGAUGAAGGCUUUCGGGUCGUAAAGCACUGUUGUAUGGGAAGAACAGCUAGAAUAGGAAAUGAUUUUAGUUUGACGGUACCAUACCAGAAAGGGACGGCUAAAUACGUGCCAGCAGCCGCGGUAAUACGUAUGUCCCGAGCGUUAUCCGGAUUUAUUGGGCGUAAAGCGAGCGCAGACGGUUUAUUAAGUCUGAUGUGAAAGCCCGGAGCUCAACUCCGGAAUGGCAUUGGAAACUGGUUAACUUGAGUGCAGUAGAGGUAAGUGGAACUCCAUGUGUAGCGGUGGAAUGCGUAGAUAUAUGGAAGAACACCAGUGGCGAAGGCGGCUUACUGGACUGCAACUGACGUUGAGGCUCGAAAGUGUGGGUAGCAAACAGGAUUAGAUACCCUGGUAGUCCACACCGUAAACGAUGAACACUAGGUGUUAGGAGGUUUCCGCCUCUUAGUGCCGAAGCUAACGCAUUAAGUGUUCCGCCUGGGGAGUACGACCGCAAGGUUGAAACUCAAAGGAAUUGACGGGGACCCGCACAAGCGGUGGAGCAUGUGGUUUAAUUCGAAGCAACGCGAAGAACCUUACCAGGUCUUGACAUCCUUUGAAGCUUUUAGAGAUAGAAGUGUUCUCUUCGGAGACAAAGUGACAGGUGGUGCAUGGUCGUCGUCAGCUCGUGUCGUGAGAUGUUGGGUUAAGUCCCGCAACGAGCGCAACCCUUAUUGUUAGUUGCCAGCAUUCAGAUGGGCACUCUAGCGAGACUGCCGGUGACAAACCGGAGGAAGGCGGGGACGACGUCAGAUCAUCAUGCCCCUUAUGACCUGGGCUACACACGUGCUACAAUGGCGUAUACAACGAGUUGCCAACCCGCGAGGGUGAGCUAAUCUCUUAAAGUACGUCUCAGUUCGGAUUGUAGUCUGCAACUCGACUACAUGAAGUC
RNAcentral lists this ribosomal RNA (1171 nucleotides) under uncultured Leuconostoc sp. RNAcentral describes it as "bacterial SSU rRNA". It matches the Rfam family "Bacterial small subunit ribosomal RNA", at positions 168 to 1327 of the family's 1533-position model. Lineage: Bacteria; Bacillati; Bacillota; Bacilli; Lactobacillales; Lactobacillaceae. The record is from RNAcentral.